Molecule: ribosomal RNA, 440 nt
Filed under: uncultured bacterium
Lineage: Bacteria
Description: partial 16S ribosomal RNA
Rfam family: Bacterial small subunit ribosomal RNA
Source: RNAcentral
CCUACGGGGUGCAGCAGUGGGGAAUAUUGCACAAUGGGGGAAACCCUGAUGCAGCGACGCCGCGUGAGUGAAGAAGUAAUUCGUUACGUAAAGCUCUAUCAGCAGGGAAGAAAAUGACGGUACCUGAGUAAGAAGCCCCGGCUAACUACGUGCCAGCAGCCGCGGUAAUACGUAGGGGGCAAGCGUUAUCCGGAUUUACUGGGUGUAAAGGGAGCGUAGACGGGGCGGCAAGUCAGGAGUGAAAUGCCGCAGCUUAACUGCAGAACUGCUUUGGAAACUGGCGAACUAGAGUGCGGGAGGGGUAGGUGGAAUUCCUGGUGUAGCGGUAAAAUGCGUAGAGAUUAAGAGGAACACCGGUGGCGAAGGCGACUUACUGGACCGUAACUGACGUUGAGGCUCGAAAGCGUGGGGAGCAAACAGGAUUAGAUACCCUGGUAGUC